RNAcentral lists this ribosomal RNA (495 nucleotides) under uncultured bacterium. RNAcentral's name for it is "partial 16S ribosomal RNA". It matches the Rfam family "Bacterial small subunit ribosomal RNA", at positions 28 to 507 of the family's 1533-position model. The record is from RNAcentral.
GACGAACGCUGGCGGCGUGCCUAAUACAUGCAAGUAGAACGCUGAAGGAGGAGCUUGCUUCUCUGGAUGAGUUGCGAACGGGUGAGUAACGCGUAGGUAACCUGCCUGGUAGCGGGGGAUAACUAUUGGAAACGAUAGCUAAUACCGCAUAAGAGUAGAUGUUGCAUGACAUUUGCUUAAAAAGUGCAAUUGCAUCACUACCAGAUGGACCUGCGUUGUAUUAGCUAGUUGGUGGGGUAACGGCUCACCAAGGCGACGAUACAUAGCCGACCUGAGAGGGUGAUCGGCCACACUGGGACUGAGACACGGCCCAGACUCCUACGGGAGGCAGCAGUAGGGAAUCUUCGGCAAUGGACGGAAGUCUGACCGAGCAACGCCGCGUGAGUGAAGAAGGUUUUCGGAUCGUAAAGCUCUGUUGUAAGAGAAGAACGAGUGUGAGAGUGGAAAGUUCACACUGUGACGGUAUCUUACCAGAAAGGGACGGCUAACUACGUG